ACACUGCAGAGAGGGCGAGAAACGUUUCCCUGUCGCGGCUGAUCGAGCAAAACGACCACGGCGUCCAUGGUGCGCACCAUAUUUAAUCGUGCAUCCGCGGUGACUGAGCCCGCAUUAUAAUGCACUAGACACACCGAUAGACGACAGAGACAUGCGUGAGAGGUGAAUCAUUCCGCGUGUAUUUUCGAAACGACCAGCAAACCAUCGUCAACGAACAUGCCUGGUGCAAGCAUCGUCACUCGAACCAACGUCUCGUCUGGUUUCUUCUGUUUGCGUGCGUUCGCCCGAUGUUCUUAGCCUUCUCGCAUUCGUGGAAAACGAAUACAGUUUCCGACGAAAGUAUUCGAAUAUUUGUUUAGUAACUUGUAUAGUAUCGUAAUGCCUAUUGCAAUGCGUCAUAUGACGAGUCUUAUACGGAACAUUAUAUGGAAGAACGUUAACAUUGUAGCGAGACUCGAACUCUCACGAUUAUAUUCGUGAGGUUGGAGAGAAAUUUGAAGAUGAACAUAGAAGCUACAAGAUGCAUAGUGCAAGAGAUGAUAAAAAUAUUAAACUGCCGAGAGUGAGAGAAAGUCGAAACUUUAUUAACUAACGAGAGAGAAACGAAAACUUUAUUUUUCUGCGACUAGGUAUGAUAUCGCGGAAAGAUGAAAGUGAAAAAUGGGACAGGGAUUUGACGAUCAGAAAAAUGAUCACCGUAUUACGAUAAAUUCGUUAAAUUUUCUUUAUGAUUUUAUAAUACGACGUAAAAGGAUACUGAGAAGAUUCUAUUGUGAAAAGUUUCGCUCGCAUAGUAAACACCGUGAGUCACAUGCGUCCCACGUGAUACGCUGUUUUCUUACGAAUCGUCGACAUUCGCGUACGCUUUUCGAUAAACGUCAAUAUUUUCAUGAAAAAUGUUCAAAGAAAAGAAAAUAUCGGAAGAAAAAUAAGAAGAUUGGAAAGUUGAAGGAAUUCUUUUUGAAACGUUUCGCGGUUCAAGUGUGCCGCUUAAACAUCGUGAAUAUCAGACGUUGUGGUCACAGUAUGCUUGCAAAGCACACCAAGGUUUAGAUUACCAUUUCCUAUAAACUUUGCUGCGUUUUGUAAUACUGAGACACUUCGUGACACAUAGAGGAAUACUGAAACGUCGGUUCAGCGGUUGCACGACGGGUUCGCGAAUGGAACAAUAGAAGCAAAGAUGUAAAGAUUAGAAAUCUACUUUUGUGUUAACCGUAUUAAAUAACUGAAUUGCUUGCGAUCAACAUUUCUGGAUAGAUAAAAA
Molecule: long non-coding RNA, 1264 nt
Organism: Bombus terrestris (buff-tailed bumblebee)
Lineage: Eukaryota; Metazoa; Arthropoda; Insecta; Hymenoptera; Apidae
Exons: 2
Source: RefSeq, a predicted model, not a curated record